Molecule: ribosomal RNA, 1282 nt
Filed under: Candidatus Streptomyces philanthi bv. pulcher
Lineage: Bacteria; Bacillati; Actinomycetota; Actinomycetes; Kitasatosporales; Streptomycetaceae
Description: bacterial SSU rRNA
Rfam family: Bacterial small subunit ribosomal RNA
Source: RNAcentral
UGGGCAAUCUUCCCUGCACUCUGGGACAAGCCCUGGAAACGGGGUCUAAUACCGGAUAUGACUACCGAUCGCAUGGUUGGUGGUGGAAAGCUCCGGCGGUGCAGGAUGAGCCCGCGGCCUAUCAGCUUGUUGGUGGGGUGAUGGCCUACCAAGGCGACGACGGGUAGCCGGCCUGAGAGGGCGACCGGCCACACUGGGACUGAGACACGGCCCAGACUCCUACGGGAGGCAGCAGUGGGGAAUAUUGCACAAUGGGCGAAAGCCUGAUGCAGCGACGCCGCGUGAGGGAUGACGGCCUUCGGGUUGUAAACCUCUUUCAGCAGGGAAGAAGCGAGAGUGACGGUACCUGCAGAAGAAGCGCCGGCUAACUACGUGCCAGCAGCCGCGGUAAUACGUAGGGCGCGAGCGUUGUCCGGAAUUAUUGGGCGUAAAGAGCUCGUAGGCGGCUUGUCACGUCGGAUGUGAAAGCCCGGGGCUUAACCCCGGGUCUGCAUUCGAUACGGGCAGGCUAGAGUUCGGUAGGGGAGAUCGGAAUUCCUGGUGUAGCGGUGAAAUGCGCAGAUAUCAGGAGGAACACCGGUGGCGAAGGCGGAUCUCUGGGCCGAUACUGACGCUGAGGAGCGAAAGCGUGGGGAGCGAAACAGGAUUAGAUACCCUGGUAGUCCACGCCGUAAACGUUGGGAACUAGGUGUGGGCGACAUUCCACGUCGUCCGUGCCGCAGCUAACGCAUUAAGUUCCCCGCCUGGGGAGUACGGCCGCAAGGCUAAAACUCAAAGGAAUUGACGGGGGCCCGCACAAGCGGCGGAGCAUGUGGCUUAAUUCGACGCAACGCGAAGAACCUUACCAAGGCUUGACAUACACCGGAAACGGCCAGAGAUGGUCGCCCCCUUGUGGUCGGUGUACAGGUGGUGCAUGGCUGUCGUCAGCUUGUGUCGUGAGAUGUUGGGUUAAGUCCCGCAACGAGCGCAACCCUUGUUUUGUGUUGCCAGCAUGCCUUUCGGGGUGAUGGGGACUCACAGGAGACUGCCGGGGUCAACUCGGAGGAAGGUGGGGACGACGUCAAGUCAUCAUGCCCCUUAUGUUUUGGGCUGCACACGUGCUACAAUGGCCGGUACAAUGAGCUGCGAUACCGUGAGGUGGAGCGAAUCUCAAAAAGCCGGUCUCAGUUCGGAUUGGGGUCUGCAACUCGACCCCAUGAAGUCGGAGUCGCUAGUAAUCGCAGAUCAGCAUUGCUGCGGUGAAUACGUUCCCGGGCCUUGUACACACCGCCCGUCACGUCAC